GGGUCAGUAGGUUGGUCGUGCCACCGGUACGUACUGGUCUCACUGAUUCCCCCUUCCUGAAGAACCGUAAUGCCAUUAAUUUGGUGUUGCGGGGAAACAGGACUGUUACUUUGAAAAAAUUAGAGUGUUUAAAGCAAACUAACGCUUGAAUACAUUAGCAUGGAAUAAUGAAAUAGGACGAUCGAUCCUAUUUUGUUGGUUUCUAGGAUUGACGUA
Molecule: ribosomal RNA, 216 nt
Filed under: Glomeromycotina sp.
Lineage: Eukaryota; Fungi; Glomeromycota
Description: partial small subunit ribosomal RNA
Rfam family: Eukaryotic small subunit ribosomal RNA (bases 54-216)
Source: RNAcentral